GACGAACGCUGGCGGCGUGCUUAACACAUGCAAGUCGAACGAAGAGCGAUGGAAGCUUGCUUCUAUCAAUCUUAGUGGCGAACGGGUGAGGAACGCGUAAUCAACCUGCCCUUCAGAGGGGGACAACAGUUGGAAACGACUGCUAAUACCGCAUACGAUCUAACCUCGGCAUCGAGGAUAGAUGAAAGGUGGCCUCUACAUGUAAGCUAUCACUGAAGGAGGGGAUUGCGUCUGAUUAGCUAGUUGGAGGGGUAACGGCCCACCAAGGCGAUGAUCAGUAGCCGGUCUGAGAGGAUGAACGGCCACAUUGGGACUGAGACACGGCCCAGACUCCUACGGGAGGCAGCAGUGGGGAAUCUUCCGCAAUGGACGAAAGUCUGACGGAGCAACGCCGCGUGAGUGAUGACGGCCUUCGGGUUGUAAAGCUCUGUUAAUCGGGACGAAAGGCCUUCUUGCGAAUAGUGAGAAGGAUUGACGGUACCGGAAAAGAAAGCCACGGCUAACUACGUG
This 510-nucleotide ribosomal RNA is filed under the name uncultured bacterium. RNAcentral describes it as "partial 16S ribosomal RNA". It matches the Rfam family "Bacterial small subunit ribosomal RNA", at positions 28 to 507 of the family's 1533-position model. The record is from RNAcentral.